This 493-nucleotide ribosomal RNA is filed under the name uncultured bacterium. RNAcentral describes it as "bacterial SSU rRNA". It matches the Rfam family "Bacterial small subunit ribosomal RNA", at positions 903 to 1397 of the family's 1533-position model. The record is from RNAcentral.
AAAGGAAUAGACGGGGGCCCGCACAAGCGGUGGAGCAUGUGGUUUAAUUCGAAGCAACGCGAAGAACCUUACCAAGGCUUGACAUGGCAUUGAAAGGUAUAGAGAUAUACCCGUCCUUCGGGACAAUGCACACAGGUGGUGCAUGGUUGUCGUCAGCUCGUGUCGUGAGAUGUUGGGUUAAGUCCCGCAACGAGCGCAACCCUUACGUCCAGUUGCCAGCACGAAAGGUGGGCACACUGGAGGGACUGCCGUGGAUAACACGGAGGAAGGUGGGGAUGAUGUCAAAUCAUCAUGCCCCUUAUGUCUUGGGCUACACACGUGCUACAAUGGUUCAAACAAAGUGAAGCGAGGCAGCGAUGCGGAGCGAAACACGAAAAAGGACCCCAGUUCGGAUUGCAGGCUGCAACCCGCCUGCAUGAAGUUGGAAUCGCUAGUAAUCGCGAAUCAGCAUGUCGCGGUGAAUACGUUCCCGGGCCUUGCACACACCGCCCGU